ACCGCUUGUGAAGAUGGACGUGUCAAGAAAGCAGUGAAUCUAGCUGUGUGUGUGUGUGGGGGGGGUUUACUUUUUCUUUACAAAAAAAAAUCACAGCAAAUGGGUUUGAUUUAGCUGAGGUUGAUUGUGUUUGGUCGUUGACGGAAAUUAUUACUAUUUCGGAGAUGGGGUUUCUCUCUCCCCUCUCUAUCUCUCUCUCUCUCUCUGCUUUUAUUGCUACACCUGUCACUGCGCCACCGACACAAUUCUUUCCGCCAUUCUUGAAAACUGUUUGGGUGUGAAGAGAGAGAGAGGGGGGUUAGAGGUUUACCCCUGAGAUAAAUAUAAUGGCUAAUUGUGAUUACAAAAAUCCCCAUGGCUAAUUUGUAGGCAUAUUAAUUCCUCAAGGGGUAAAUUGUAAUAUAUUUAAGGGUAAAUUAAAAUCACCCCUAUGGUAC
This 437-nucleotide long non-coding RNA is filed under the name Erythranthe guttata (spotted monkey flower). Its description in RNAcentral is "long non-coding RNA (EGUT_LNC000896)". The record is from RNAcentral. Lineage: Eukaryota; Viridiplantae; Streptophyta; Magnoliopsida; Lamiales; Phrymaceae.